AUUGAACGCUGGCGGCAUGCCUUACACAUGCAAGUCGAACGGCAGCACGGGUGCUUGCACCUGGUGGCGAGUGGCGAACGGGUGAGUAAUACAUCGGAACAUGUCCUUGAGUGGGGGAUAGCCCGGCGAAAGCUGGAUUAAUACCGCAUACGAUCUACGGAUGAAAGCGGGGGACCUUCGGGCCUCGCGCUGUAGGGUUGGCCGAUGGCUGAUUAGCUAGUUGGUGGGGUAAAGGCCUACCAAGGCGACGAUCAGUAGCUGGUCUGAGAGGACGACCAGCCACACUGGGACUGAGACACGGCCCAGACUCCUACGGGAGGCAGCAGUGGGGAAUUUUGGACAAAGGGCGAAAGCCUGAUCCAGCAAUGCCGCGUGUGUGAAGAAGGCCUUCGGGUUGUAAAGCACUUUUGUCCGGAAAGAAAUCCUUGGCCCUAAUACGGUCGGGGGAUGACGGUACCGGAAGAAUAAGCACCGGCUAACUACGUG
RNAcentral lists this ribosomal RNA (486 nucleotides) under uncultured bacterium. RNAcentral's name for it is "partial 16S ribosomal RNA". It matches the Rfam family "Bacterial small subunit ribosomal RNA", at positions 30 to 507 of the family's 1533-position model. The record is from RNAcentral.